Long non-coding RNA from Sinocyclocheilus anshuiensis, 239 nucleotides. RefSeq lists it as uncharacterized. Lineage: Eukaryota; Metazoa; Chordata; Actinopteri; Cypriniformes; Cyprinidae. The record is from RefSeq and is a predicted model, not a curated record. The transcript has 3 exons.
CUCUUUUAGAUCUGCUGUGUGAUGUUUGGCAUUGAGAAGAAACUAAAGAAGCUCUGUGUAGCGUAGCGGCCCUCUUUUUUCCAGUUAUCCCCAAACCCAUCUCUCUGACUGAGAAGACUUCAGCUGUACUGACUCGCUGUUGUCUCUGUCUCCCUGCAGCCAAGCAAAGAAAUAACAUGUGAGAGAAACCAAGAGGACGGCCAUGAAGGCUCCACCCCCAAUUCCGGCCUUCACCCAUA